RNAcentral lists this ribosomal RNA (504 nucleotides) under uncultured bacterium. RNAcentral's name for it is "bacterial SSU rRNA". It matches the Rfam family "Bacterial small subunit ribosomal RNA", at positions 107 to 607 of the family's 1533-position model. The record is from RNAcentral.
UGAGUAAUGUCUGGGAAACUGCCCGAUGGAGGGGGAUAACUACUGGAAACGGUAGCUAAUACCGCAUAACGUCGCAAGACCAAAGUGGGGGACCUUCGGGCCUCAUGCCAUCAGAUGUGCCCAGAUGGGAUUAGCUAGUAGGUGAGGUAAUGGCUCACCUAGGCGACGAUCCCUAGCUGGUCUGAGAGGAUGACCAGCCACACUGGAACUGAGACACGGUCCAGACUCCUACGGGAGGCAGCAGUGGGGAAUAUUGCACAAUGGGCGCAAGCCUGAUGCAGCCAUGCCGCGUGUAUGAAGAAGGCCUUCGGGUUGUAAAGUACUUUCAGCGGGGAGGAAGGCGGUGCGGUUAAUAACCGCAUCGAUUGACGUUACCCGCAGAAGAAGCACCGGCUAACUCCGUGCCAGCAGCCGCGGUAAUACGGAGGGUGCAAGCGUUAAUCGGAAUUACUGGGCGUAAAGCGCACGCAGGCGGUCUGUUAAGUCAGAUGUGAAAUCCCCGGG